AAGCAUCAUCAGAGGUGUGUCUGGGAAAACUACCAGUGAGAUUUAAGUCACAACGUCCCAUUCUCCCUUUGAAAGUGCUUUCUAAUAACACUGGGCACAUCCCAAACAGCUUCCCUCAGCCUGGAGCACACCAAUCGCACCUUCCCACGCUCACUAAAUAGGGUGAAAAAAAUAAUCAAUGCCCAGAGAACCCAAAUCUCUUCAUUUCUAAAGUAAAUUGCAACUAUCUGUCUUGCUGGGCAUUUAUCCACAGGAGUGGCUCCUAAAUGAAUUUAGGAAACGAAUAUGACCUUUAAUAGAUAAUUUGGUGCCCAUAUGGAAAAAGAGAAGGCAAAACAAGAAUGGUGAGUGAAUGUUGGCCCAAAGUAAAAGUUCUAACUGGGGGGUGGGUGGGGAAACGAGAGACUUCAUCUAGAAAGGGGGAAAGGAUGAAAGUCAACCACGGAGCACAAACGAAGGAGAGAAAAUAGUGUUCCAUCUAAACCAUCUAAAGAUCCACUGGAGAGAUGAUGGAACUGAAACGGAGCAGGGAUUUCGGAGUUCAAAACUCCUUGACUCUACAAAUUAUUGCAGUUCUUUUAAAGGUCGGUGGGCUGAACAUCCUAAAAGAGGGUUGGCAGUGGGGAAAUCACUCUCGGGGCAUGGCAGGGAUGUGGGGACCCUCCUAAACUCAAGAAGCGGCUUCAGAUUAGGCCGGAUCGGGGAAGCUGGGGUUUCUAGAAUUGCUCCAGACUGUCCGGCGCUGACUGACCCGAGGGCGACCGCAGAUUCCACGUGGGAAUCCGGGAGAAGGAAGCGCAUCCUCCACAGCCACCAGGACGCUCGUGACACCGAGCUCCCCGAAGGACCGAGGAGCAAGGGGAGAGCAGGGUUCAGUGGGGCUCGCGGGCGCGGCCACUCACCGAUGCCGAGCCCCACGACCAGGCGGCCGGCCAGCAGCGUCUCCUUGUUGGCGGCGGCGGCCAGCACGGCGGAGCCCACGGUGCACAGGGCGCUGGCCAGCAGGAUGGCGCUUCGCCGACCGAGGGCGCCGUUCAGGGCCCCUCCGGCCAGCGCCGCGACGGCGGCCGC
RNAcentral lists this long non-coding RNA (1071 nucleotides) under Rattus norvegicus (Norway rat). RNAcentral describes it as "long non-coding RNA NONRATT026236". Lineage: Eukaryota; Metazoa; Chordata; Mammalia; Rodentia; Muridae. The record is from RNAcentral.